GACGAACCGUGCGAACGUUGUUCGGAAUCACUGGGCAUAAAGGGCGCGUAGGCGGCUUUUCAAGUCAGGGGUGAAAUCCGGCAGCUCAACUGUCGAAGUGCCCUUGAUACUGAUGAGCUCGAGGGAGGUAGGGGUGUGUGGAACUUCCGGUGGAGCGGUGAAAUGCGUUGAUAUCGGAAGGAACGCCGGUGGCGAAAGCGACGCACUGGACCUCUUCUGACGCUGAGGCGCGAAAGCUAGGGGAGCGAACGGG
Molecule: ribosomal RNA, 253 nt
Filed under: uncultured bacterium
Lineage: Bacteria
Description: partial 16S ribosomal RNA
Rfam family: Bacterial small subunit ribosomal RNA
Source: RNAcentral